ACGUAGGGGGCAAGCGUUGUCCGGAAUCAUUGGGCGUAAAGCGCGUGUAGGCGGCUUGGUAAGUCUGGCGUGAAAUCUUGGGGCUCAACCCCAAGCCUGCGUUGGAUACUGCCUCGCUCGAGUCCGGGAGAGGAAAGCGGAAUUCCCAGUGUAGCGGUGAAAUGCGCAGAUAUUGGGAAGAACACCGGUGGCGAAGGCGGCUUUCUGGAACGGUACUGACGCUGAGACGCGAAAGCGUGGGGAGCAAACAGG
This 252-nucleotide ribosomal RNA is filed under the name uncultured bacterium. RNAcentral describes it as "partial 16S ribosomal RNA". It matches the Rfam family "Bacterial small subunit ribosomal RNA", at positions 525 to 776 of the family's 1533-position model. The record is from RNAcentral.